RNAcentral lists this ribosomal RNA (500 nucleotides) under uncultured bacterium. RNAcentral's name for it is "bacterial SSU rRNA". It matches the Rfam family "Bacterial small subunit ribosomal RNA", at positions 29 to 501 of the family's 1533-position model. The record is from RNAcentral.
AACGAACGCUGGCGGCGUGGAUAAGACAUGCAAGUCGAGCGCUCAUUCGUUUGCAGCAAUGUACACGAGUGGGAGCGGCGCAAGGGUGCGUAACGCGUGGGUAAUUUGCCGUGAAGUUGGGAAUAACUCCGAGAAAUCGGAGCUAAUGCCGAAUGUGGUUGCCUGGGGGCAUCUCCGGGUUACUAAAGUUGGGGACCGAAAGGCCUGACGCUUCACGAUAAGCCCGCGCCCUAUCAGCUAGUUGGUGAGGUAACGGCCCACCAAGGCUAAGACGGGUAGCUGGUCUGAGAGGACGACCAGCCACACUGGAACUGAGACACGGUCCAGACACCUACGGGUGGCAGCAGUCGAGAAUUUUUCACAAUGGGCGAAAGCCUGAUGGAGCGACGCCGCGUGGGGGAUGAAGGGCUUCGGCCCGUAAACCCCUGUCAUUUGCGAACAAUUCUUUUCCGAUAACACCGGAAAAGUUGAUGGUAGCGAAAGAGGAAGGGACGGCUAAC